This is a long non-coding RNA of Pezoporus occidentalis (night parrot), 1354 nucleotides long. RefSeq lists it as uncharacterized. The transcript has 8 exons. The record is from RefSeq and is a predicted model, not a curated record. Lineage: Eukaryota; Metazoa; Chordata; Aves; Psittaciformes; Psittacidae.
GGCACAGCCGAGCCCCUCAGCGAAGAUGGUGGCACCUCAGUGAUGAUGUGUUUAAGGAAGGGUAAAACCACCACGCAGGCAAAGGAGUGAGGGAGUCAGAGGAGAACCAGGGUUUGAGGAGGAGGGAAAGGGAUCCUGUGGGAAGAAGCGGGAGCAGAAUUCAGGUCCAAGCUGUUCAACCCCACAGGCUGGAUUACAGUUGCCUCACAGGUUUGAGCUCUCUCUGGACAAAGCUUAGUGUGUGGACACACCAAGUCACUUCAAGCGGAGUUGUACAUGUGGUUCUGGUGGAUCCUCUAAGAUUAAGGCAUCAAGCUAGGUGAACACAAACUGUGGACUAGGUCCAGCAUAACAGCCUGUUACUAGGCUCCUUCGUGGUACACGUCAGCUGCCAUAGUCACCUGCAGCCAUUUGCAGUUCAUCCUUCUGAUUUCUCUGUUCUAUUUUGUUAAAUGUAUGGCAAGAGAGAAGACUGUAAUGAAUGGUUAGACAGUAAGUUUCUCCUGUGUUACAGGAAUCUCUGCAAUUACGCAAUACAAACCCUCUGCUCUGCAGUACUUGAGGUGGAUGGUUGCUGAGCUGAAAUGGUAUUAAAUUUAAGAGAAAGCCAGAUAGCACCAGAUGAAAGUAAAAAGGCAUUUUGAAAGAUGUAAUAAAAUCCUCAGCCUUGGACAGUUAUGGAAAGAGAGACAGCACAUCACUCUCUAUUCAGGGAUCAUCUGACUACCAACAGGAAUCCAAGCCAUCAACAUAUUAUUUUACUCCUCAUGUUAACACAGAGUGAGGAUUUCAUCUACAAAAGAUGCCUAAAACAUAAGGAGAGUGAAGGACAAGUAGAGAGCAAGCAUUCAGUCUUACUGACCUCUGGCUCACUGAAAACCAGAACAUUUUCCCAAAUGCCACAUAAUUAUUAAUUCAUAGGAAGUUUCACAAGCUUGUGAUCUGAUCCAUAGACAACAAAAAUUGUUGUUUUGCAAAGAUUUUUCCAUUGAUUUUGGCCCUGGACCAUGCACUGAAGAUCUGGCAUCUGGAAUAGAUCUCCUUGCUUGAGAAAAGAUUUAAAGUGCACAGCUGAAGUUUCUGAUGUGAAGCAAGGAAAAGAAAUAUUGUUCUCCCAGUUAGUGCUGCCUAAGCUAUGUCCUGAGGAAAUGAGUAGCACCAUCUUGCAAGUCACACAGUAACAGAGAAACAGCAGCAGCGCACUUCUGUGCACACAGCCAACAUCCCUCCGAGUCCAGGACACAAUGGAAAAUUCUGAACAGAGCCAGGAAAAUGGAAACUGGAAAAUUUAUCUCAGAACCUGGUAUAUAUGAAAAUCCUGCUGCUUAUUCUCAAAAAUGAUGUAAACAUCUUU